Molecule: ribosomal RNA, 377 nt
Filed under: uncultured bacterium
Lineage: Bacteria
Description: bacterial SSU rRNA
Rfam family: Bacterial small subunit ribosomal RNA
Source: RNAcentral
AUACGUAGGUGGCGAGCGUUGUCCGGAAUUACUGGGCGUAAAGGGUGCGUAGGCGGAAUCUUAAGUCAGAUGUGAAAUCCCCGGGCUUAACCUGGGGACUGCAUUUGAAACUGGGGUUCUAGAGUGCAGGAGAGGAAAGCGGAAUUCCUGGUGUAGCGGUGAAAUGCGUAGAUAUUAGGAAGAACACCAGUGGCGAAGGCGGCUUUCUGGACUGUAACUGACGCUGAGGCACGAAAGCGUGGGGAGCAAACAGGAUUAGAUACCCUGGUAGUCCACGCUGUAAACGAUGAGUGCUAGGUGUGGGGGGUUUCGACACCCUCUGUGCCGCAGUAAACGCAAUAAGCACUCCGCCUGGGGAGUACGGUCGCAAGACUAAA